Non-coding RNA from Cordylochernes scorpioides, 70 nucleotides. Lineage: Eukaryota; Metazoa; Arthropoda; Arachnida; Pseudoscorpiones; Chernetidae. The record is from the annotation of a GenBank genome assembly.
UGCCCUGAUAUGGGAAUCGAACCCACAGUGUUCCGCUUACCAGGCAGAUGCCAUGUCCACUAGGCUAGGC